UACGUAGGGUGCAAGCGUUAAUCGGAAUUACUGGGCGUAAAGGGUGUGUAGGCGGUCUUUUAAGUCUGAUGUGAAAUCCCCGGGCUCAACCUGGGAACUGCGUUGGAAACUGGAAGACUAGAGUACGUAAGAGGGGGGUGGAAUUCCACGUGUAGCAGUGAAAUGCGUAGAGAUGUGGAGGAACACCAAUGGCGAAGGCAGCCCCCUGGGACGAUACUGACGCUGAGGCACGAAAGCGUGGGGAGCAAACAGG
Molecule: ribosomal RNA, 253 nt
Filed under: uncultured bacterium
Lineage: Bacteria
Description: partial 16S ribosomal RNA
Rfam family: Bacterial small subunit ribosomal RNA
Source: RNAcentral